Molecule: ribosomal RNA, 406 nt
Filed under: uncultured bacterium
Lineage: Bacteria
Description: partial 16S ribosomal RNA
Rfam family: Bacterial small subunit ribosomal RNA
Source: RNAcentral
AUUGAACGCUGGCGGCAGGCCUAACACAUGCAAGUCGAACGAGGGGCGGACGGGUGAGUAAUGUCUGGGAAACUGCCUGAUGGAGAGGGCUCAUUACUGGAAACGGUAGCUAAUACCGCAUACCAUCAGCUGUGCCCGACUGGUAGUAGCUAGUUGGUGGGGUAACGGCUCACCAAGGCGACGAGCCCUAGCUGGUCUGAGAGGAUGACCAGCCACACCGGAACUGUGACACGGUCCAGACUCCUACGGGAGGCAGCAGUGGGGAAUAUUGGCAAAUGGGCGCAAGCCUGAUGCAGCCAGGCCGCGUGUAUGAAGAAGGCCUUCGGGUUGUAAAGUACUUUCAGCGGGGAGGCGUUACCCGCAGAAGAAGCACCGGCUAACUCCGUGCCAGCAGCCGCGGUAAUAC